GACGAACGCUGGCGGCGUGCUUAACACAUGCAAGUCGAGCGGUAAGGCCCUUUCGGGGGUACGACGAGCGGCGAACGGGUGAGUAACACGUGGGUGACCUGCCCUCAGCUCUGGGAUAAGCCUGGGAAACCGGGUCUAAUACUGGAUAUGACUCCAUGACGCAUGUUGUGGGGUGGAAAGCCUUGUGCGGCUGAGGAUGGGCCCGCGGCCUAUCAGCUUGUUGGUGGGGUGGAUGGCCUACCAAGGCGACGACGGGUAGCCGGCCUGAGAGGGCGACCGGCCACACUGGGACUGAGACACGGCCCAGACUCCUACGGGAGGGCAGCAGUGGGGAAUCUUGCGCAAUGGGCGAAAGCCUGACGCAGCGACGCCGCGUGAGGGAUGACGGCCU
RNAcentral lists this ribosomal RNA (391 nucleotides) under uncultured bacterium. RNAcentral's name for it is "bacterial SSU rRNA". It matches the Rfam family "Bacterial small subunit ribosomal RNA", at positions 28 to 417 of the family's 1533-position model. The record is from RNAcentral.